ACCGCAUACGCCCCGAGGGGGAAAGCAGGGGAUCGCAAGACCUUUGCGUUAUUCGAGCGGCCGACGUCUGAUUAGCUAGUUGGUGGGGUAAAGGCCUACCAAGGCGACGAUCAGUAGCGGGUCUGAGAGGAUGAUCCGUCACACUGGGACUGAGACACGGCCCACACUCCUACGGGAGGCAGCAGUGGGGAAUUUUGGACAAUGGGGCAACCCUGAUCCAGCCAUUCCGCGUGAGUGAAGAAGGCCUUCGGGUUGUAAAGAUCUUUCAGCCGGAACGAAACGGUACGCACUAAUAUUGUGUGCUAAUGACGGUACCGGCAGAAGAAGCACCGGCUAACUACGUGCCAGCAGCCGCGGUAAUACGUAGGGUGCGAGCGUUAAUCGGAAUUACUGGGCGUAAAGCGUGCGCAGGCGGAUUAUUAAGCAAGACGUGAAAGCCCCGGGCUUAACCUGGGAAUGGCGUUUUGAACUGGUAGUCUAGAGUAGUGUCAGAGGGGGGUGGAAUUCCACGUGUAGCAGUGAAAUGCGUAGAUAUGUGGAGGAACACCAAUGGCGAAGGCAGCCCCCUGGGAUAACACUGACGCUCAUGUACGAAAGCGUGGGUAGCAAACAGGAUUAGAUACCCUGGUAGUCCACGCCCUAAACGAUGUCAACUGGUUGUUGGGGGAGUGAAAUCCCUUAGUAACGAAGCUAACGCGUGAAGUUGACCGCCUGGGGAGUACGGUCGCAGAUAAAAACUCAAAGGAAUUGACGGGGACCCGCACAAGCGGUGGAUGAUGUGGAUUAAUUCGAUGCAACGCGAAAAACCUUACCUACCCUUGACAUGUCCAGAAUCCUGCAGAGAUGCGGGAGUGCCCGAAAGGGAAUUGGAACACAGGUGCUGCAUGGCUGUCGUCAGCUCGUGUCGUGAGAUGUUGGGUUAAGUCCCGCAACCGAGCGCAACCCUUAUCAUUAGUUGCUACGCAAGGGCACUCAAUGAGACUGCCGGUGACAAACCGGAGGAAGGUGGGGAUGACGUCAAGUCCUCAUGGCCCUUAUGGGUAGGGCUUCACACGUCAUACAAUGGUCGGUACAGAGGGUUGCCAAGCCGCGAGGUGGACCAAUCCCAGAAAGCCGAUCGUAGUCCGGAUUGUUCUCUGCAACUCGAGAGCAUGAAGUCGGAAUCGCUAGUAAUCGCGGAUCAGAAUGCCGCGGUGAAUACGUUCC
This 1206-nucleotide ribosomal RNA is filed under the name Thiobacillus thiophilus. Its description in RNAcentral is "bacterial SSU rRNA". It matches the Rfam family "Bacterial small subunit ribosomal RNA", at positions 168 to 1374 of the family's 1533-position model. Lineage: Bacteria; Pseudomonadati; Pseudomonadota; Betaproteobacteria; Nitrosomonadales; Thiobacillaceae. The record is from RNAcentral.